GUAGAGCAGACAUGCCAGAAUCAUAACAGACAUGACUCUUCAACUUGGAUCCAAAAUCUGUAGAAGCAGCCCUAAUUGAAGUGGAUUUCCCCCACGGCCUGGAAAAGAAUGCCGGGACCAGGUCGCACGCCUUCCUGCGUGCACGUCCAGAUAGUGAGAGCUACCCCACCGCACCGUGGCCACUGAAGGAGCCGAACUUGUCUGUCAUAUGGUUCAGCCGGGCCAGCUAAAAGCCAACCCCUUACAGCUACUGAGAUUAGCUGCAGUUCAAGUCCCUUUCAGGCCACAUGUGGAUGACUGGAAUUCCCUCAUCUCAUCGUCCGGAAACAUUUUCCUCAACACGGUUCAAUUAAGACAACUUUAUUUAAAGGGUGGUUUUUGAAAACAGAUCGGCCACCGCUGUCAACGCUUAUGUAUUUGAUCCUUUUUGAUGGUAUUUUAAAGGUACACGUUUGAUUUUAAAUAGAUGACAGCAAGCUUUUUCCUUAGCUCUUUUCUUAGCUUCAGCAGCUAUCAGCUAAGGUAACACGUGACUUAGGAGUCUAUUAAGAAUCAUUUAUCCAGAAACGUUUGGUUUAUAUGUAAAAUAUAUUUUAUAUUUCUUUAAAUAUUAUUUUAAUAAAUAAAGGCAGGUAAUUAAACACCAUUAAGACCCAUUUGUCUAGAAAGGUUUGAUUCUUAUAGAAAUAAUGUUUCCUUGAAUAUUAUUUUAAUAUUUCCAAUAUUAAUAUUUUACUAAA
Molecule: long non-coding RNA, 740 nt
Organism: Girardinichthys multiradiatus
Lineage: Eukaryota; Metazoa; Chordata; Actinopteri; Cyprinodontiformes; Goodeidae
Exons: 3
Source: RefSeq, a predicted model, not a curated record